This is a small nucleolar RNA of Gossypium raimondii (Peruvian cotton), 107 nucleotides long. It matches the Rfam family "Plant small nucleolar RNA R71". From Rfam's summary of the family: R71 is a member of the C/D box family of snoRNAs containing the C (UGAUGA) and D (CUGA) box motifs. Multiple nearly identical copies of this snoRNA have been identified in Arabidopsis, and it is thought to function as a 2'-O-ribose methylation guide for 18S ribosomal RNA. Lineage: Eukaryota; Viridiplantae; Streptophyta; Magnoliopsida; Malvales; Malvaceae. The record is from Rfam.
AAUCCAUGCAUCCCGCAGUUCCAAAUUAAAUCUUUAAUUCAUUCCCAAGCUUCAUAUAAUGUUUCAUUCUCUAACUGCUAAAAAGAUGUGAUGUCAUUUCUAAUCUU